UUCAAAAAGUUAGAGAUGCGGUUGCGUUUCUUUUUUGUAAUGCUAAUAGGGGAAGACUUAGAGAUUUUAAGAAUGCUUGUGUGGAAAAUAACCUUAGACCUAGGAAAAUUCAAGUAGAAAUUGAGACUAGGUGAAACUACACUUACAUUAUGCUACAACAAGCAUAUGAGUAUAGGAUUCCCAUACAAUAAGUUCACAACAAAUAUAAUAUUAAUAAUGAUGAUUGGUUAAAUUUUACGCAUUGGGAAGAUGUUAAGGAAUGUGUUGAACUCUUAGAAUUUUUUUAUAAUGCAACUCUUGCUUUUUCUAAAUAAUUCUAUCCCACGGUAAUCGAAAUUUUAGCCUACUUAGCGAAAAUAGCUAGAGUUUUACAAGAGUAUAAAUAUAAACCCGGUUAUCAAGCGGCUAUUUUUGAUAUGACAACAAAAUUUAAGAAGUUUUUUUUCCCAUCCCAACUUUAUUUAUAUUGGGUUCUCUUUUAAAUCCUUGUUUAAAAGUGUUUUAUACUAAAGCAUUGGUUGGUCAAAUUUAUACAUUUUUAGAAAUUAAAGAGGGAGUUCAACCAUCUUUAGCUGAAGCCGAACUCUCUAUUGAUGACGAGUUUAGAAAAGUUUUUACUCAUUAUUCUUAUUUAGAAGAACAUGCUACACCCGUUGCUCCACGCCCUACUACUUCUCAAAGUAGCAAAAAGGGCUUGUCGGGUUUGUCGCAUUUAAAAGUUUUACAUUCACAGCCAACUCCUUCUUGUAAUGCAAACUUUGAUGAAUAUAACUUUUAUUUGAUGCAGCCAAAUGUAGAUAUCAAGGAACUAGAUGAGUUGGACGUCUUAGCAUGGUGGAAGAAAUACAAGGCAAGUCAUCCGAUACUCUCAAGAAUGGCUCGAGAUAUCCUUACGGUUCAAGUAUCAACCGUGGCUUCGGAGAUGUGCAUUCGCGAUUGGAUUAGAUCGAAGUGACGCAACCAAAACUUAGAAGCGGAUGAAGGCGAAGAGGAAGAGAUUGAAGAUUUGAUAGCAAGUGGACCGGACCAAAUGGAAUACUUUGAAGAUAUCUCCAUGGCCGAAUAUGAUAUGGGGGAAAUUAACCAAAUGAUUGAGAAUUAGUGAUUUUAUUAUUAUACUAUUUCUUUGUAACUCAUGUAUUAUUUGCAAGUUAAAAAAAAUACAACUUGCAAAUAAAUGUUAUCCAAGAAUGAAUAAAAUAUAUGGCUCAUUGAGAUUUCUUCUA
Molecule: long non-coding RNA, 1226 nt
Organism: Lycium ferocissimum
Lineage: Eukaryota; Viridiplantae; Streptophyta; Magnoliopsida; Solanales; Solanaceae
Exons: 2
Source: RefSeq, a predicted model, not a curated record